Molecule: ribosomal RNA, 253 nt
Filed under: uncultured bacterium
Lineage: Bacteria
Description: partial 16S ribosomal RNA
Rfam family: Archaeal small subunit ribosomal RNA
Source: RNAcentral
UACCAGCACCCCGAGUGGUCGGGACGAUUAUUGGGCCUAAAGCAUCCGUAGCCGGUCCUGCAAGUCUUCCGUUAAAUCCAGCUGCUCAACAGAUGGGCUACGGGAGAUACUACAGGGCUAGGAGGCGGGAGAGGCAAGCGGUACUUUAUGGGUAGGGGUAAAAUCCGCUGAUCCAUAGAAGACCACCAGUGGCGAAGGCGGCUUGCCAGAACGCGCUCGACGGUGAGGGAUGAAAGCUGGGGGAGCAAACCGG